RNAcentral lists this ribosomal RNA (440 nucleotides) under uncultured bacterium. RNAcentral describes it as "partial 16S ribosomal RNA". It matches the Rfam family "Bacterial small subunit ribosomal RNA", at positions 338 to 795 of the family's 1533-position model. The record is from RNAcentral.
CCUACGGGGUGCAGCAGUGGGGAAUAUUGCACAAUGGGGGAAACCCUGAUGCAGCGACGCCGCGUGAGUGAAGAAGUAUUUCGGUAUGUAAAGCUCUGUCAGCAGGGAAGAAAAUGACGGUACCUGACCACGAAGCCCCGGCUAACUACGUGCCGGCAGCCGCGGUAAUACGUAGGGGGCAAGCGUUAUCCGGAUUUACUGGGUGUAAAGGGAGCGUAGACGGCAGGGCAAGUCUGGAGUGAAAGGCGGGGGCUCAACCCCCGGACUGCUCUGGAAACUGCGAGGCUGGAGUGCAGGAGAGGUAAGUGGAAUUCCGAGUGUAGCGGUGAAAUGCGUAGAGAUGAGGAGGAACACCAGAGGCGAAGGCGGCUUACUGGACUGUAACUGACGUUGAGGUUCGAAAGCGUGGGGAGCAAACAGGAUUAGAUACCCCUGUAGUC